GGGAGUGACAGGUUUUGACAUAUAGAUGACAUUGAUUCAGGCAACGCGGAGCGCCAAGCUCUCCUAAAACAGUUUGGAAAGAUUAAGUGUAAAAAACUUAUCUAAAGCAAUCGUCUCUCCAUUUUAUGGAGCAAACGACUUCGCUUUCUCUUACGCCACUGUCUAAACAACAGCCCUAAGAGACGGUCGCUCCUCACAUAUCUCGUACGAGGAGUUGAUUGACAUAACUUGAGGUUAGAAAUAUUUUUUGUCUCGGAAAUAUUUUGAAAUAAAGAAGACUCGAUUGUAUCGCAUUUUGUUUGUUCCAAGCAAUAUGAUUUAAACAUUAAAUAAACUACGCGCUGUAGAUUCGUUUCAAUUCUCUGUAUGCAUGCGAUUUCGAUAUCGCCACUUCCACAA
Molecule: transfer-messenger RNA, 399 nt
Filed under: Candidatus Zambryskibacteria bacterium RIFCSPHIGHO2_02_38_10.5
Lineage: Bacteria; Candidatus Zambryskiibacteriota
Also listed under: 7 other names
Rfam family: transfer-messenger RNA
About the family: Bacterial tmRNA, also known as 10Sa RNA or SsrA, is named for its dual tRNA and mRNA-like properties. Its role is to liberate the mRNA from a stalled ribosome.
Source: RNAcentral